AGCGGCGGAUGGGUGAGUAACACGUGGGUAACCUGCCUCUAAGCAGGGGAUAACAUUUGGAAACAGAUGCUAAUACCGUAUAAAUCCUAAAACCACAUGGUUUUAGGCUGAAAGGCGGCUUCGGCUGUCACUUAGAGAUGGACCCGCGGCGUAUUAGCUAGUUGGUGAGGUAAUGGCUCACCAAGGCAAUGAUACGUAGCCGAACUGAGAGGUUGAUCGGCCACAUUGGGACUGAGACACGGCCCAAACUCCUACGGGAGGCAGCAGUAGGGAAUCUUCCACAAUGGACGCAAGUCUGAUGGAGCAACGCCGCGUGAGUGAAGAAGGCUUUCGGGUCGUAAAACUCUGUUGUUGAAGAAGAACACGUUUGAGAGUAACUGUUCAGACGUUGACGGUAUUCAACCAGAAAGCCACGGCUAACUACGUGCCAGCAGCCGCGGUAAUACGUAGGUGGCAAGCGUUAUCCGGAUUUAUUGGGCGUAAAGCGAGCGCAGGCGGUUUUUUAAGUCUGAUGUGAAAGCCCUCGGCUUAACCGAGGAAGUGCAUCGGAAACUGGGAAACUUGAAUGCUGAAGAGGACAGUGGAACUCCAUGUGUAGCGGUGAAAUGCGUAGAUAUAUGGAAGAACACCAGUGGCGAAGGCGGCUGUCUGGUCAGUUAUUGACGCUGAGGCUCGAAAGCAUGGGUAGCGAACAGGAUUAGAUACCCUGGUAGUCCAUGCCGUAAACGAUGAAUACUAGGUGUUGGAGGGUUUCCGCCCUUCAGUGCCGCAGCUAACGCAUUAAGUAUUCCGCCUGGGGAGUACGACCGCAAGGUUGAAACUCAAAGGAAUUGACGGGGGCCCGCACAAGCGGUGGAGCAUGUGGUUUAAUUCGAAGCAACGCGAAGAACCUUACCAGGUCUUGACAUCUUCUGCUAUUUCUAGAGAUAGAAAGUUCCCUUCGGGGACGGAAUGACAGGUGGUGCAUGGUUGUCGUCAGCUCGUGUCGUGAGAUGUUGGGUUAAGUCCCGCAACGAGCGCAACCCUUAUGACUAGUUGCCAGCAUUAAGUUGGGCACUCUAGUAAGACUGCCGGUGACAAACCGGAGGAAGGUGGGGACGACGUCAAAUCAUCAUGCCCCUUAUGACCUGGGCUACACACGUGCUACAAUGGUUGGUACAACGAGUUGCGAACUCGCGAGGGUAAGCUAAUCUCUUAAAGCCAAUCUCAGUUCGGACUGUAGGCUGCAACUCGCCUACACGAAGUCGGAAUCGCUAGUAAUCGCGGAUCAGCAUGCCGCGGUGAAUACGUUCCCGGGCCUUGUACACACCGCCCGUCACACCAUGAGAGUUUGUAACACCCAAAGCCG
Molecule: ribosomal RNA, 1348 nt
Filed under: Lacticaseibacillus pantheris
Lineage: Bacteria; Bacillati; Bacillota; Bacilli; Lactobacillales; Lactobacillaceae
Description: bacterial SSU rRNA
Rfam family: Bacterial small subunit ribosomal RNA
Source: RNAcentral